RNAcentral lists this ribosomal RNA (429 nucleotides) under Pseudomonadota bacterium. RNAcentral's name for it is "Proteobacteria bacterium partial 16S ribosomal RNA". It matches the Rfam family "Bacterial small subunit ribosomal RNA", at positions 355 to 776 of the family's 1533-position model. The record is from RNAcentral. Lineage: Bacteria; Pseudomonadati; Pseudomonadota.
UGGGGAAUAUUGGACAAUGGGCGAAAGCCUGAUCCAGCCAUGCCGCGUGUGUGAAGAAGGUCUUCGGAUUGUAAAGCACUUUACGUUGGGAGGAAGGGCAGUAAGCGAAUACCUUGCUGUUUUGACGUUACCGACAGAAUAAGCACCGGCUAACUCUGUGCCAGCAGCCGCGGUAAUACAGAGGGUGCAAGCGUUAAUCGGAAUUACUGGGCGUAAAGCGCGCGUAGGUGGUUCGUUAAGUUGAAUGUGAAAGCCCCGGGCUCAACCUGGGAACUGCAUCCAAAACGGGCGAGCUAGAGUAGGGCAGAGGGUGGUGGAAUUUCCUGUGUAGCGGUGAAAUGCGUAGAUAUAGGAAGGAACACCAGUGGCGAAGGCGACCACCUGGGCUCAUACUGACACUGAGGUGCGAAAGCGUGGGGAGCAAACAGG